Molecule: ribosomal RNA, 633 nt
Filed under: Rotylenchulus reniformis
Lineage: Eukaryota; Metazoa; Nematoda; Chromadorea; Rhabditida; Hoplolaimidae
Description: SSU rRNA
Rfam family: Eukaryotic small subunit ribosomal RNA
Source: RNAcentral
GGCGAUCAGAUACCGCCCUAGUUCUGACCGUAAACGAUGCCAACUAGCGAUCCGCCAGUCGACUCAUCGCUCUGGUGGGGAGCUUCCCGGAAACGAAAGUCUUCCGGUUCCGGGGGAAGUAUGGUUGCAAAGCUGAAACUUAAAGGAAUUGACGGAAGGGCACCACCAGGAGUGGAGCCUGCGGCUUAAUUUGACUCAACACGGGGAAACUCACCCGGCCCGGACACCGUAAGGAUUGACAGAUUGAUAGCUUUUUCAUGAUUCGGUGGAUGGUGGUGCAUGGCCGUUCUUAGUUCGUGGAGCGAUUUGUCUGGUUUAUUCCGAUAACGAGCGAGACUCUGGCCUACUAAAUAGUUGACGCAUUGCCACUGUGCGCACAACUUCUUAGAGGGAUUUUCGGUGUUUUCAACCGCACGAAAUUGAGCAAUAACAGGUCUGUGAUGCCCUUAGAUGUCCGGGGCUGCACGCGCGCUACACUGGCAAACGCAACGUGCCUGUCCUGCCCCGAAAGGAGCGGGUAAACCCCUGAAAUUUUGCCGUGAUUGGGAUCGGACAUUGCAACUAUUGUCCGUGAACGAGGAAUUCCUUGUAGGGGCGAGUCAUCAACUCGUCCCGAAUACGUCCCUGCCCUUG